RNAcentral lists this ribosomal RNA (547 nucleotides) under uncultured bacterium. RNAcentral describes it as "bacterial SSU rRNA". It matches the Rfam family "Bacterial small subunit ribosomal RNA", at positions 383 to 918 of the family's 1533-position model. The record is from RNAcentral.
CUCAUGCAGCCAUGCCGCGUGCAUGAUGAAGGCCUUCGGGUUGUAAACUGCUUUUGUACGGAACGAAAAAGCUUCUCCUAAUACCAGAGGCCCCUGACGGUACCGUAAGAAUAAGCACCGGCUAACUACGUGCCAGCAGCCGCGGUAAUACGUAGGGUGCGAGCGUUAAUCGGAAUUACUGGGCGUAAAGCGUGCGCAGGCGGUUAUGUAAGACAGAUGUGAAAUCCCCGGGCUCAACCUGGGAACUGCAUUUGUGACUGCAUGGCUAGAGUACGGUAGAGGGGGAUGGAAUUCCGCGUGUAGCAAUGAAAUGCGUAAAUAUGCGGAGGAACACCGAUGGCGAAGGCAAUCCCCUGGACCUGUACUGACGCUCAUGCACAAAAGCGUGGGGAGCAAACAGGAUUAAAUACCCUGGUAGUCCACGCCCUAAACGAUGUCAACUGGUUGUUGGGAAUUAGUUUUCUCAGUAACGAAGCUAACGCGUGAAGUUGACCGCCUGGGAAGUACAGGUCGCAGAGUUGAAACCUCAAAGAAAAAUUUGAACGGG